GCAGGCUGCAACCCGCCUGUAUGAAGUUGGAAUCGCUAGUAAUCGCGGAUCAGCAUGCCGCGGUGAAUACGUUCCCGGGCCUUGUACACACCGCCCGUCACACCAUGAGAGUCGGGAACACCCGAAGUCCGUAGCCUAACCGCAAGGAGGGCGCGGCCGAAGGUGGGUUCGAUAAUUGGGUGAAGUCGUAACAAGGUAUC
This 200-nucleotide ribosomal RNA is filed under the name uncultured bacterium. Its description in RNAcentral is "partial 16S ribosomal RNA". It matches the Rfam family "Bacterial small subunit ribosomal RNA", at positions 1300 to 1500 of the family's 1533-position model. The record is from RNAcentral.